RNAcentral lists this ribosomal RNA (908 nucleotides) under uncultured bacterium. RNAcentral's name for it is "bacterial SSU rRNA". It matches the Rfam family "Bacterial small subunit ribosomal RNA", at positions 620 to 1528 of the family's 1533-position model. The record is from RNAcentral.
AAGGCAGUGGAAACUGUAAAGCUAGAGUACGGUAGGGGUAGAGGGGAACCCCAGUGUAGCGGUGAAAUGCGUAGAGAUUGGAAGAACACCAGUGGCGAAAGCGCUCUACUGGGCCGUAACUGACGCUCAGGGACGAAAGCUAGGGGAGCGAAAGGGAUUAGAUACCUCUGUAGUCCUAGCUGUAAACGAUGGAUACUAGGCGUAGCUUGUAUCGACCCGAGCUGUGCCGAAGCUAACGCGUUAAGUAUCCCGCCUGGGGAGUACGCACGCAAGUGUGAAACUCAAAGGAAUUGACGGGGGCCCGCACAAGCGGUGGAGUAUGUGGUUUAAUUCGAUGCAACGCGAAGAACCUUACCAGGGCUUGACAUCUGACGAAUCUGGGGGAAACCUCGGAGUGCCUUCGGGAACGUCAAGACAGGUGGUGCAUGGCUGUCGUCAGCUCGUGUCGUGAGAUGUUGGGUUAAGUCCCGCAACGAGCGCAACCCUCGUCCUUAGUUGCCAGCCUUAAGUGGGGCACUCUAGGGAGACUGCCGGUGACAAACCGGAGGAAGGUGGGGAUGACGUCAAGUCAUCAUGCCCCUUACGUCCUGGGCUACACACGUACUACAAUGGUAGGGACAAAGGGCAGCGAACUCGCGAGAGUAAGCGAAUCUCAUCAAACCCUGCCUCAGUUCAGAUUGCAGGCUGCAACUCGCCUGCAUGAAGGAGGAAUCGCUAGUAAUCGCAGGUCAGCAUACUGCGGUGAAUCCGUUCCCGGGCCUUGUACACACCGCCCGUCACACCAUGGAAGCUGGCCACGCCCGAAGUCGUUACCCCAACCGUUUGGAGGGGGAUGCCGAAGGCAGGGCUAGUGACUGGGGUGAAGUCGUAACAAGGUAGCCGUACCGGAAGGUGUGGCUGGAUCACCU